CAUAAAAAGCCUAUGAUAUAGUCCGACCUCUAUGGAGACAUAGAGAGCGCAGCAGAAAUGUCUGCGUCUUCUGAAAAUUAUCAGAAUGUAACAAAUGUGAACUGUUCUAAGGUAGCGAAGUACCUUGUCACUUAAUUGGUGACGCGCACGAAAGGUUUAACGAGCGAAACACUGUCUUGAACUAGUACUCGGUGAAAUUGAACGGGCCGUGAAUAUGCGGUCUACUGACGGCAGGACAAAAAGACCCCGUAGAGCUUUACUGUAGCUUGAUACUGGUGCUUUAUUCAAAAUUGUCUAGAAUAGGUGGGAGCUUUGCUACUUGGUAGCAGAGCGCCAGUGUAAUACCACUCGUUUUGUAUAGAGUAUCUAACCUAAGGCCAAUGCAAACUUGGUCAGGGACAAUGUCAGGUGGGCAGUUUAACUGGGGAGGUUGCUUGCUAAAAGGUAACGCAAGCGCGCAAUGGUACCCUUAGCCUGGAUGGAAAUCAGGCUGGACGUGCAAUAGCAGAUGGGUGCUUGACUGUGAGGCAUACAAGCCGAGCAGGUGCGAAAGCAGGUUAUAGUGAUCCUCGUGCACUUUGUGGAAGGUGCCGGGCUUAUCGGAUAAAAGCUACCUCGGGGAUAACAGAGUCAUCACGCCUAAGCGUCCCUAGCGUCGGCGUGGUUUGCUACAUCGACAUUGGUGUCCCAAUGCAGUAAUGCGUUGGUGCUGUUCUUGAGACACAAAACUUAAAGUGUCUACAAGAUAAACAUGGGCUCAUAACGGUGAACCCUAAGUUUUUGAUUAUUAUUGAAGAAAGUGUUGGUAAUGAUUUCAGAUUGAUUUCAGUUUUUAUUGCUAUAAUUUUUCAUUAUUAAUUCAAAAUAAGGCAACACCGUGGGAAGUCUAACGGAUGUCCAAAAAUCAAUCAUCAUAGGUUCUUUGUUGGGAGAUGGAUACAUGCGCUGUAAGCGCAAUGCUUACUUGCAAAUUUGUCACUCAAUUAAGCAAAAAAUGUAUGUUGAUUGGAAAUAUUCAUUCCUAAAGCAAUAUGUAAAGAAUAGGCCAAAAGCUUAUCAG
This 1060-nucleotide ribosomal RNA is filed under the name terrestrial metagenome. Its description in RNAcentral is "bacterial LSU rRNA". The stretch from base 1 to 737 matches the Rfam family "Bacterial large subunit ribosomal RNA", at positions 1832 to 2925 of the family's 2925-position model. The record is from RNAcentral.